AGGUGACCCUGCGGAAGGGAUCGAU
This 25-nucleotide ribosomal RNA is filed under the name uncultured fungus. RNAcentral's name for it is "partial 18S ribosomal RNA". Lineage: Eukaryota; Fungi. The record is from RNAcentral.